Molecule: long non-coding RNA, 646 nt
Filed under: Theobroma cacao (cacao)
Lineage: Eukaryota; Viridiplantae; Streptophyta; Magnoliopsida; Malvales; Malvaceae
Description: long non-coding RNA (TCAC_LNC000517)
Source: RNAcentral
UCAAAGCACAUUACUUAAAACAACAAUAGAUUAUUCAAAACAACAUUCAAAUAAUAACAACAAUUUCACACAAACAAUAACCUAAAUUUCACAUUUUAUAAGGAAAUUUACAGUCUUAAGACAGCAACAGUUUCAUAGCAAGAGUUAAAACACAAUGGGGGCAGCAACCAAAACCUACAAUAUUGGGGCAGCAACAAUGAGGAAACCAAAAUCCACAAUAGGGCAGUAAUAACAAUGGGGAAACCAAAACCCAUAAUGGGAAAAAUGCUUGACAAAUCUUAUCGGUUGGAGCAACAAUGGGGAGGAGGACGUCAACUGGAGCUUAGGGAAUCGAACGGGUAGAAGGAUCGGGAGGUUCAAACGGCGAGAAAAGGAACAAGCAAUUGACGGAGUGUUUGCGUCCGGCAUGGAUGAUGCUCCGGUGCAUUUCAAUCGGCAAUUCUAGUGGCGAAGGUCGAGUAUGGGGUGCGACGACAAGAGAGGUAGAGAGGAGAGGAGAAGAGAAAAGAGAGAAACGGGGGAACACGAACCGCUUGAGGGUUUUAAUUUGGCCUAUUAACAGAAUCACUAACGAUAAUUUUUAUCUGUUAAACCAGCGACUGAAUUUCUGUCGGUAAACUUAUUAACCUUUUAAGUAAUAUUACCG